This 493-nucleotide ribosomal RNA is filed under the name uncultured bacterium. Its description in RNAcentral is "partial 16S ribosomal RNA". It matches the Rfam family "Bacterial small subunit ribosomal RNA", at positions 30 to 523 of the family's 1533-position model. The record is from RNAcentral.
AUUGAACGCUGGCGGCAUGCUUUACACAUGCAAGUCGAACGGUAACAGGUUAAGCUGACGAGUGGCGAACGGGUGAGUAAUGCAUCGGAACGUGCCCGGUCGUGGGGGAUAACGCAGCGAAAGCUGCGCUAAUACCGCAUCCGAUCUGAGGAUGUAAGCGGGGGACCGUAAGGCCUCGCGCGAUCGGAGUGGCCUAUGUCAGAUUAGGUAGUUGGUGGGGUAAAGGCUCACCAAGCCGACGAUCUGUAGCUGGUCUGAGAGGACGACCAGCCACACUGGGACUGAGACACGGCCCAGACUCCUACGGGAGGCAGCAGUGGGGAAUUUUGGACAAUGGGCGCAAGCCUGAUCCAGCAAUGCCGCGUGCAGGAAGAAGGCCUUCGGGUUGUAAACUGCUUUUGUACGGAGCGAAAAGGCUCUCUCUAAUACAGGGGGCUCAUGGCGGUACCGUAAGAAUAAGCACCGGCUAACUACGUGCCAGCAGCCGCCGUAA